Long non-coding RNA from Armigeres subalbatus, 700 nucleotides. RefSeq lists it as uncharacterized. Lineage: Eukaryota; Metazoa; Arthropoda; Insecta; Diptera; Culicidae. The transcript has 3 exons. The record is from RefSeq and is a predicted model, not a curated record.
UGGAAUUUAGGUGGUUUCAGUGUAUCAUAGUUUUGGAGCCAUAUUGGAGCCGAUUGUAUUCUGGGGUAAACGAGAUCACGGAAAGGAUUAGCUUAACAUUACCAUAAUCAACUAGACGGACGUUAGAGCGGAAACGAAACAAAACCCCCAUUCCUCAAAGGCGAAUUUGUCUUCAAUCUGUAGGAUUAUCAACAGAGGUCUUCACGGCCAUUCGGCAGACGAGACACGGAAGACGAGCGGUGGUUUGAAGAGCUGCGUCUUUCGAUCGGUGAUCAGGCGGUUCUUCCCAGAGUUCUUCAAUACGCCCCGGCAGCAAGAAUUCAAUGUUUGGAAAGUGAUUUUCAACAUCACCGGAGACGGUCGAAUACUGGCCGGACUUUUCAAAGGCCCAGCACUUUGAAAGUUUGAUGCUAAAGUUGGAAUAGGCUACCUGCAGGGGCUUAGCGCCCAUAAGGGGUCACCAGUUAGCCGUGCGAGCAAAGGCGUAGGAUUGCCAAUCCGCAAAAGCUUUCAACUAAUAACUGAGGAAAUGCUAAUAGAACACUAAGUUGACAAGGAGUCCGAAGCAGGACAAACUCCAGUUUAAAUGUAGAGGAAGCCUAUUAAGCACAAUUAUUAGCUUCGCAGUUUCUAAACCAAGUUCCCAUUUAUGUAUUCGUAUAUCAAGUCUAUUAUGCAGUAUAUCAUAGCUAUAACAUGA